GAGAUCAGCACAUAGCAGUCCUGGUGACACGUGGUGGUGACCACAGACCACGGUUGUGUCAGAGGAGAGGGAGAGAAGUGCUGGAUUCAAGAGACACUUAGAAGGCAGCUGGUACAGGACUUGUUGACCAAUGUGGACAGGGAGAUGGAGGAGUUGAUGACGUUGGCCUGAUUUCUGCUGGAGUGACUGACUACCGGACAGUGGCCUUCCCCUGAGAGGGGCAACACGGAAGGAGCAGUUUCAUGCUGGGGGAGCAGUCUUGGAUCUGCUGAGUUGGUGUGACCAGUAGGAAGAGGAGCGGAGCUGGAGAUAAACAGAUCUGAGAACCAUCGACAAGUUUCUGAAGCUAUGGGAGACUGAACCAUCGCCCCCAAGAAAUGAGUGUGGAGUGGGCAGAGAGGGGCCCGGGACAGAACCCCGUGGAACACGAAUAUUCAGGGGGUGGUGUAGAGAGUGGUAUGCCAGAGAAUGGAGAGGAAAACCCCAUGAGGCAACAGAGGAGCCCAGGGAAGACAGUGUUCCAGGAAAGAGGAAGAAGUCAAGAGCUCAGGGCUUCAAGUGACCACAGAAGUGAAGAACGUCCAAACCCUCUGGACUUCAUAGCAAGGAGGUCAUCGGCAACCCUGGCGAGAACGGCUUCAGGGCAGUUGGGGCGGAUUCAGAUUGCAUGGGAGUCACGAAAGCAGAGGCCCAGAGACGGUGGAAGGAAGUGAGACUGGACGCGGAACCUGUACUUUGAGACUCCAAACUCUGCUGUCUCCUUGCAGAGAGGACCCUCACAUUCCUGGGCUUCGAGGCGCUCAGUGGGCGGAUCUAGUGGUCAACAGGGCCAGGGAGGAGACUCAAUGUCCCAUCUGUGAUGGGCUCCUCGCCACGUUCCCUCAGCCAGCAUGGGUGGAGGAGCGGAGACGGCUGCCCUGGGCAGAUGCCUUGCUCGCCUUCCUGGACACCUGGACUACCUAUGACGUGGCAGAGGCUCGUUUUCUCAGCGGAGGUGCCGUGAAAUAUGAAAUGGGGGCAAACGGGAAGUUCUGCUGCAGAAAUGGGAAGAUGGGUGGAGUUGGGCACGCAGGUUGGUUCUGUCUCCCCCUCCAAAUGUGUACAUAUCUUGGGGCAAAACUUUAACAUUUUACAAUUACGUUCUCACUGAUCUUAUUUGAGUCACACAGUAAUAGUAAGAUAUCUCAAGGUACAAAUUCUUCUCCUAUCAGACCGGAAAGGUCUACAAAGCCCUAAAUUUGGGCAUCCAGCCUGCGUCCUUUGCUUGCUGCAGGCAGGGAUCCCUUCCACGGCACCCACCAGGGCAUGUUCUUACCAAGCCCAGCUCGCUGUCCACUCCUGCCGCCCUCCCAGGCCGGGUCCCCCACAGCCCACUCCCCCAGGCCUCAGCCCUGGCGUCCUCCAGGCAGGGCCUGCUCACAAUAUAACUCAAGGCUCUGAAUGCUUGUCACGCAUCUACCGUCGCUCAGACCAGCAGUGUCUGGCAGUGACAACAUGGGCCCGCGUGUGGCGAAGACGUGUGUGGGACAGAUGAGAAGUGAGAUUGGAGCAAUCCGGGCCAGUGGAGAUGUUGCCUCAGACUCCAGCAAAUCUCGCUUGACGGUGCAGCCUUCCAUGGCUCUUGCUCUGCUCGUCUCGGCCUCACUUGGCUCUGAAACCACAUCACCCCAGCUCCAAGCACGACUCAACCCUCUACCUGCUGUGUGACAUUGAGCAAGUUUAUUAAUCUCUGUGCUUCAGUUUCCUCACUUGCAAAAUGAGGAUAAUAAUAUUGUUAACACCUAAUCAAGCUGUUAUGAGGAUUAAGGAAUGAAGGAAAUCAUAAAAAGUGCUAGAUAGUUUCCUCCACAUAAGUCUUUCGUGGAUUUAUUCCUAGAUUCCUUACUUUUUUGUUACUACAAAUGAAAAAAUUAAAUUUCACUUUUUCUAACUACCAGUUGUUGGUAUAUGAAAAUACAACUUAUUUUGGUAUAUUGUAAAUUUAUUACUUUUAAUAGCUUAUAAAUUUCCUUAAAUUUUCUAUGUAUACGGCCAUGUCACACUUGACUGAUGACUCUUUC
This is a long non-coding RNA of Equus asinus (donkey), 2060 nucleotides long. The record is from Ensembl. Lineage: Eukaryota; Metazoa; Chordata; Mammalia; Perissodactyla; Equidae.